Molecule: ribosomal RNA, 776 nt
Filed under: uncultured bacterium
Lineage: Bacteria
Description: bacterial SSU rRNA
Rfam family: Bacterial small subunit ribosomal RNA
Source: RNAcentral
ACACAUGCAAGUCGAGCGAAGCACUUUGCUUAGAUUCUUCGGAUGAAGAGGAUUGUGACUGAGCGGCGGACGGGUGAGUAACGCGUGGGUAACCUGCCUCAUACAGGGGGAUAACAGUUAGAAAUGACUGCUAAUACCGCAUAAGACCACAGCACCGCAUGGUGCGGGGGUAAAAACUCCGGUGGUAUGAGAUGGACCCGCGUCUGAUUAGCUAGUUGGUAAGGUAACGGCUUACCAAGGCGACGAUCAGUAGCCGACCUGAGAGGGUGACCGGCCACAUUGGGACUGAGACACGGCCCAAACUCCUACGGGAGGCAGCAGUGGGGAAUAUUGCACAAUGGGGGAAACCCUGAUGCAGCGACGCCGCGUGAGCGAAGAAGUAUUUCGGUAUGUAAAGCUCUAUCAGCAGGGAAGAAAAUGACGGUACCUGACUAAGAAGCACCGGCUAAAUACGUGCCAGCAGCCGCGGUAAUACGUAUGGUGCAAGCGUUGUCCGGAUUUACUGGGUGUAAAGGGAGCGUAGACGGAUGGGCAAGUCUGAUGUGAAAACCCGGGGCUCAACCCCGGGACUGCAUUGGAAACUGUUCAUCUAGAGUGCUGGAGAGGUAAGUGGAAUUCCUAGUGUAGCGGUGAAAUGCGUAGAUAUUAGGAGGAACACCAGUGGCGAAGGCGGCUUACUGGACAGUAACUGACGUUGAGGCUCGAAAGCGUGGGGAGCAAACAGGAUUAGAUACCCUGGUAGUCCACGCCGUAAACGAUGACUACUAGGUGUCGGG